AACGAACGCUGGCGGCAUGCCUAACACAUGCAAGUCGAACGAGACCUUCGGGUCUAGUGGCGCACGGGUGCGUAACGCGUGGGAACCUGCCCUUAGGUUCGGAAUAACUCCCCGAAAGGGGUGCUAAUACCGGAUAAUGUCUUCGGACCAAAGAUUUAUCGCCUUUGGAUGGGCCCGCGUUGGAUUAGCUAGUUGGUAGGGUAAAAGCCUACCAAGGCGACGAUCCAUAGCUGGUCUGAGAGGAUGAUCAGCCACACUGGGACUGAGACACGGCCCAGACUCCUACGGGAGGCAGCAGUGGGGAAUAUUGGACAAGGGGCGAAAGCCUGAUCCAGCAAUGCCGCGUGAGUGAUGAAGGCCUUAGGGUUGUAAAGCUCUUUUACCCGGGACGAUAAUGACAGUACCGGGAGAAUAAGCUCCGGCUAACUCCGUG
RNAcentral lists this ribosomal RNA (433 nucleotides) under uncultured bacterium. RNAcentral describes it as "partial 16S ribosomal RNA". It matches the Rfam family "Bacterial small subunit ribosomal RNA", at positions 29 to 507 of the family's 1533-position model. The record is from RNAcentral.